UGGUUUCCUAUUCUACCUUUUGUGACACCUUUGACUCGAUAAAUUAUUGAAAACAGGUUACCAAGUGAGCAAAGUGAACCAUGCUCUGAUACCACCUUAGUUGUAACACCCCCGAUCCAGAAAAAGUAAACGUUAAUUAGUUUUCCAUGCACCAAUCAAACAAGAACAUGCACGACAAACUAAAGAACUCUAACCAGAUCAAAGAUACUACUACCACGUGCCCAAACAUUUGAUCCAAGGUUCCCGGAUCAGAUCCGAAAUCCCAAGAUCAUAUGUCCAAGAACGGGUUUCCUAGCGAUUCCAAGUUAAGGCUUUGUAACCCGAGUUUGAAACCGUUAGUUAGUUAACCCGGACUAGGACUAGUAUCAUAUGGAAUCCAAGCAUUUCACAAACCUUUUCUUAUUCAUAUAUACUUUAAGUUCAACUACAUCAAAACUUUAUACAUGCUCGUUCGAUGUUCAAAACCAUAUCUUACAUAUUACAAAACGUACAUGUUUGCAAAAGGUAGCAAAUCUACACCAACAGCUUUGUGCUCCUCCGAUCCCAAAUGGAAGCUACUACGAGUUACCUAC
RNAcentral lists this long non-coding RNA (572 nucleotides) under Brassica napus (rape). Its description in RNAcentral is "long non-coding RNA (BNAP_LNC015164)". Lineage: Eukaryota; Viridiplantae; Streptophyta; Magnoliopsida; Brassicales; Brassicaceae. The record is from RNAcentral.